AGAGCAAAUGGUGGAUGCCUUGGCUAGUAGAGGCGAUGAAAGACGUGCCAGGCUGCGAUAAGUCUCGGGGAGCCGUCAAGGGGCUUUGAUCCGGGAAUUUCUGAAUGGGGCAACCCAGUAUAUAGUGAUAUAUACUACCGCAAUGCGGAGCGAACGUUGGGAAUUGAAACAUCUUAGUACCAACAGGAAGAGAAAUCAAACGAGAUUACGCUAGUAGCGGCGAGCGAAAGCGUAAGAGGGCAAACCACUAGCUUGCUAGUGGGGUUGUAGGACUGCAAUAUAGACUUAAACAAUCUAAUAGAAUAAGUUGGAAAGCUUAAGCAUAGAGGGUGAUACUCCCGUAUAUGAAAGUGCGUUUAUACUUAGCAGUAUCCUGAGUAGGGCGGGACACGUGUAAUCCUGUCUGAAGCUGGGUAGACCACUAUCCAACCCUAAAUACUACUACUAGACCGAUAGUGCACAAGUACCGUGAGGGAAAGGUGAAAAGAACUGAGGUGAUCAGAGUGAAAUAGAACCUGAAACCAUUUGCUUACAAUCAUUCAGAGCCCUAUGAUUUAUCAGGGUGAUGGACUGCCUUUUGCAUAAUGAGCCUGCGAGUUGUGGUGUCUGGCGAGGUUAAGGAAACCCGGAGCCGUAGCGAAAGCGAGUCUUAAUAGGGCGUAUAGUCAGAUGCUGCAGACCCGAAACGAUGUGAUCUAUCCAUGAGCAGGUUGAAACUGGUGUAAGAGCCAGUGGAGGACCGAACAGACGGCCGUUGAAAAGGCUCCUGAUGACUUGUGGAUAGGGGUGAAAGGCCAAUCAAACAUCGUGAUAGCUGGUUCUCUCCGAAAUAUAUUUAGGUAUAGCGUUGUGUAGUAACUUUGUGAGGUAGAGCACUGAAUGGGCUAGGGCAUACACCAAUGUACCAAACCCUAUCAAACUCCGAAUGCGCAAAGUGUAAUCACAGCAGUCAGGCGGCGAGUGAUAAAAUCCGUCGUCGAGAGGGGAACAACCCAGACUAACAGCUAAGGUCCCUAAAUCUCAUUUAAGUGGAAAACGAUGUGGAGUUACUGAAACAACCAGGAGGUUGGCUUAGAAGCAGCCAUCCUUUAAAGAAAGCGUAAUAGCUCACUGGUCUAGUGAUUCUGCGCGGAAAAUAUAACGGGGCUAAAAUGAGUACCGAAGCUUUAGACUUAGUUUUUAACUAAGUGGUAGGAGAGCGUUCUAUUCAGCGUUGAAGGUAUACCGGUAAGGAGUGCUGGAGCGGAUAGAAGUGAGCAUGCAGGCAUGAGUAGCGAUAAAAGGGGUGAGAAUCCCCUUCGCCGUAAACCCAAGGUUUCCUACGCGAUGCUCGUCAUCGUAGGGUUAGUCGGGUCCUAAGCAAAGUCCGAAAGGGGUAUGCGAUGGAAAAUUGGUUAAUAUUCCAAUACCAAUUAUUAUGUGCGAUGGAAGGACGCUUAAAGUUAGUGGAGCUAGCGGAUGGAAGUGCUAGUCUAAGGGCGUAGGUUGAGUUAUAGGCAAAUCCGUAACUCUCUAUCCGAGACCUCAAAGGCUCUUGACGCUCUUCGGAGUAGAUGGAGAAUCCAUGAUACUAUCGAGCCAAGAAAAGUUUCUAAGUUUAGUAAUAAUUGCCCGUACCGUAAACCGACACAGGUGGGUGGGAUGAGUAUUCUAAGGCGCGUGGAAGAACUCUCUUUAAGGAACUCUGCAAAAUAGCACCGUAUCUUCGGUAUAAGGUGUGCCUAACUUUGUAUUAAGAUUUACUCCCAAAGCAAAGAAGGUUACAACAAAGAGUCCCUCCCGACUGUUUACCAUAAACACAGCACUCUGCUAACUCGUAAGAGGAUGUAUAGGGUGUGACGCCUGCCCGGUGCUCGAAGGUUAAUUGAUGGGGUUAGCAUUAGCGAAGCUCUUGAUCGAAGCCCGAGUAAACGGCGGCCGUAACUAUAACGGUCCUAAGGUAGCGAAAUUCCUUGUCGGUUAAAUACCGACCUGCAUGAAUGGCGUAACGAGAUGGGAGCUGUCUCAAAGAGGGAUCCAGUGAAAUUGUAGUGGAGGUGAAAAUUCCUCCUACCCGCGGCAAGACGGAGAGACCCCGUGGACCUUUACUACAGCUUGACACUGCUAUUUGGAUAAAGAUGCGCAGGAUAGGUGGGAGGCUUUGAUCCAUAGACUCUGGUUUAUGGUGAGCCAUUGUUGAGAUACCACUCUUCUUUAUUUGGGUAGCUAACUAGCCUAAGUUAUCCUUAGGUAGGACAAUGUCUGGUGGGUAGUUUGACUGGGGCGGUCGCCUCCCAAAGUGUAACGGAGGCUUACAAAGGUUGGCUCAGAACGGUUGGAAAUCGUUCGUAGAGUAUAAAGGCAUAAGCCAGCUUAACUGCGAGACGUACAUGUCAAGCAGAGACGAAAGUCGGUCUUAGUGAUCCGGUGGUUCUGUGUGGAAGGGCCAUCGCUCAAAGGAUAAAAGGUACCCCGGGGAUAACAGGCUGAUCUCCCCCAAGAGCUCACAUCGACGGGGAGGUUUGGCACCUCGAUGUCGGCUCAUCGCAUCCUGGGGCUGGAGCAGGUCCCAAGGGUAUGGCUGUUCGCCAUUUAAAGCGGUACGCGAGCUGGGUUCAGAACGUCGUGAGACAGUUCGGUCCCUAUCUGCCGUGGGCGUAAGAAGAUUGAGGAGAGUUGACCCUAGUACGAGAGGACCGGGUUGAACCAGCCACUGGUGUAUCAGUUGUUCUGCCAAGAGCAUCGCUGAGUAGCUAAGCUGGGAUGUGAUAAGAGCUGAAAGCAUCUAAGCUCGAAGCCAACUCCAAGAUGAAUCUUCUUUUAAGAGCUCUAGUAGACUACUAGUUUGAUAGGCUGGGUGUGUAAUGGAUGAGAGUCCUUUAGCUGACCAGUACUAAUAGCUCGUUUGCUUAUCUU
The sequence is a ribosomal RNA, 2895 nucleotides long. It matches the Rfam family "Bacterial large subunit ribosomal RNA".